UUUAUCGCUUCCCUACAUAUAUUAAACCACCAUCGGCAAACUGUUUGUCAGGUUGAGCUCGGUUUUCUGUGCUGCCGAAUACGACGAGACCAGUCAAAGCCUUUAUGGCAUAAUUAUGGCUUAUGUGCCCGGUUGUUGGCACAUAGCCGCUUUAUUGUUUUAAUCAAUUUUUAAUAAUUAACAAGAAAAAUUAUUAAUUAAUAACUAUAUAACAUUUAGCACAGAAAAGGUGGGGGCAUUACUAACGCCCACUACACAUAACGUAUCUAUAUAAGUUCAACAUAUCGCGUCCAACAACGGGGAGGAGGGUGGGUAAUUCUCUUCUAUCCAAUUUCUUGAUGUGAACUGCAGGCCUCGUGGAAUAGGAAAGGACAGAUAGCCCGCUUCACCACUGAUAAAUACCGAAAUUUCCAGUCACGUGACUAUACCUAAAUUAACUUGCGCGCGAAAAUUACUUAUUUCGCAUAAUUAAUUUCAACCAUAAAUUAUUCCGGGAAGCAAUAAAAACUCUUAUCGCUGUGGCAAUAAGUUCUUUUAUCGCUUCCCUACAUAUAUUAAACCACCAUCGGCAAACUGUUUGUCAGGUUGAGCUCGGUUUUCUGUGCUGCCGAAUACUACGAGACCAGUCAAAGCCUUUAUGGCAUAAUUAUGGCUUAUGUGCCCGGUUGUUGGCACAUAGCCGCUUUAUUGUUUUAAUCAAUUUUUAAUAAUUAACAAGACAAAUUAUUAAUUAAUAACUAUAUAACAUUUAGCACAGAAAAGGUGGGGGCAUUACUAACGCCACAAGUCUCCUUGGGAUAAAGGAGACACACCCCACCCCAACAUGACAAAUCGUUUGCAGAUGAUCGUGAAAAAUAUCUACAUAUACUGAUACCACAUGUUACGAAAACCUCAAUCUAUGUCAGUUUCACUGCACAUGCUAUUGUCAGUCAAAAGCAAUGAACUUGCACUGGUCUACAUAAUAGCAGUACUAUCAAUUACCUAGUUGACUAUAUACUAUAUACAAGCCUCUACUGAAAUAAAUAUGAUCAGCUGAAAUGUGAACUUUACCCCUGUGUCAGUUCAAUAUCCAACCGAUCACGAAUACGUGUCGCCAGAUGCGAUAAAAUACCAGUUUCUAGCGAAAUAACUAUCAUCAGCUGAAAUGUGAACCUUACCCCUGUGUCAGUUCAAUAUCCAACCGAUGACGAAUAAGUGUCAAGAGGCGAUAAAAUACCGUAUUAUACCAGUUUCUAGCGAAAUAAAUAUCAUCAGCUGAAAUGUAAACCUUACCCCUGUGUCGGUUCAACGUCCAGCGAUGACGAAAAAGUAAGAUAAAAUACCUAGGUAAUCGCCAGUUUCGGGCGAAAUAAACAUGCAUGAUCAGCUAAAAUGUGAACCUUACCCCUGUUUCAGUUCAACAUCCAGCCGGCAAUGACGUUUGCGAAAAACAAAACAUUUGUUGUACAUACUGUUAUUAACAAACUGGAUAAAUUAAAUUUAGAAACGUGAAUUGAGGUUAUAUAUAUGAUAGUCGAUCCGGAAUGACUGUUGGUGAUGAAUGAACAUUGGCCGAUGCAAGCUGUGUCAACGUAGAAACCUGUAUCCGAGAUACAGGAUUCCCUGAAACACUUUUUAAUCCCGAUAUGUGCCGCGAGUAUACGAAAUAAAGGUAUACUUAAUGCUAUUAAUUAAAAACAAGCAAGCACCAGUUUACGUACAAAUAUCAUAACAGUCGAAUCCCAAAAUGGAACCGAAUAGCCUUAUUAUAAUAUCAACCAAUGCAGCAUCAUCUGUUAAGAACGUUAUACGCUGAAUUACCACCGCCUCGCAAAUUGCCGAGUGCGAAUAGGGUAUAGCGACUAUGCUGGGCCGAUCGGAUGCAUUUUGUAAGAUCGUAUUAAAGAUCAACAAGACGCCUGCUCAGGCGUUCACACUGACCUGAAAAUGACGACAUACGAGCUACGGUGCAAUAGACAAGAAUACAAGUCGUGAACCGCAGACGCAAAGCGUGAAAGGCUAAAAGCUCGGCUAAAAGCGUGCCGUGAUCCUCAGGAGAUGUUUUCGUAAUGCCCAAUAAACACACAAGUAUUACUCACAAAUACAAACGUUAUCCACG
Molecule: non-coding RNA, 2098 nt
Organism: Paramuricea clavata
Lineage: Eukaryota; Metazoa; Cnidaria; Anthozoa; Malacalcyonacea; Plexauridae
Source: the annotation of a GenBank genome assembly